CAUGGCGGUAUGUUGGUUGUUUCUGUUGCUGAUAUUGGUAUUGCUUUUAUUAUUGUUGUUGUUGUUUUGGUUAUUAAGCUCGCUUAUAAAGCCUUCCCUUGUCCAUAGUGACCGCUGCUGCUUUUCGCUGUCCCCGACCAUAGUGCUGAAGUAGUUCCCUGCUCCUUGGCUUUCCCUGGCCAUGGUGCUGACAGUAAUAUCAACUUCUAUCUCUUCAUAGAAGCUCUGGCCCUUGGUGUCUGUGUGGUGGUGUGGGGGAUGGAUGUGAGAUGGCACUUGAUUAGACUCUAGAAUCCUUAGGGUUCCUGGGAUUUCUCACUAGCUAAAAGACCCUGGGAUUGGGGAGGGAUCUUGUUUUCUUCUGCUGCUUUGCUCGGUUGUCUUCUCUUCCAGCCACUAAGGACCCAACCUGGACAGUUCACAAGCCCAUCCAGGGUCUGGAGCCUCAGAAAUGCCUGUCUUGAUUCUUUCUUGCUGUCAGCCAGUUGAUUGGACACCUCCAGAGCAGCUGUGCACACAAAUGUCUACCUGUUCCGGACUCCAGUGGCUGCUACAUCCUGACUCUUCCCCCCCGAGAAGUGACCGGCCUUGUCCAGAGUUCCAUCUCCAAGUCCCAGAUGGAAGAUACUGAGCCUGGCCCGACGGACUCUUCUUCUCAGGACCUCCCCACCACCCUGUCCUUUUCCCACCCAGCAGAGUUUUUAUAUCUCAUUCAUUUCCAAGACUCUCCUCUCACUCCCUUCCUUUCCACUGAGUCAGCUGCUCUAAUAGACAAAAAGGGAAAGUUUUCACUUUUAUCUUCACAAUUCAGAGGUAAGUACUCCAUGCAUCACUGUUCCCAUUUAACAGAUGAGGAAACUGAGGUGAAAUGGUCACCCAGC
Molecule: long non-coding RNA, 881 nt
Filed under: Phascolarctos cinereus (koala)
Lineage: Eukaryota; Metazoa; Chordata; Mammalia; Diprotodontia; Phascolarctidae
Description: lncRNA (ENSPCIG00000020958.2)
Source: RNAcentral